AUUUCUCCGAAUUGUGAAGGUCAUCAGGAGUAUGCUCCCUUUCAUGUUAAUAUGGAUUUAUUAUUGAAAACACUUGAAGUUUUCUUUUCACAUGGCAUAUCAUGUGGUCUUCUUGAGAGAAAUGCACAGAGACUUGAAAAUAGUUCUCUAAGUGAAUGUAGACAGCUUUCUUCUGUGGUCUCAUCUGUUUCAUGUGCCCUCAUUGCAAUCCCCCUCUGGACUUAACCUGGGAUCUUCAAGCUUCAAGGAUGCAAAUACUUCAAGUGUUUCACGAUUCUUCUAGAGGUAAGACUAGAUGACAUAACAGUCGACAUUUAUUUCUCACAGUUCUGGAGGCUGGGAUGUCCAAGAUCAGGGUGCUGGCAGAUUCCUGAUGCGGGUCCCUUAUCUGACUUGUAGAUAGUAGGCUACCUUCCGGUUGCAUCCUCACAUAUCAGAACGGGACAGAUGGAAGGGAUCAUUCCUGAGAUAUCUCCGCUAUCUCAUGUAUGUGAGAGAGAGAGAGCGAGCGAGAGAGCGAGCAAGCGAGCAUGGGAGAGUGCACACGGGGAAGUCAUUUCUCCUCUUAUAAGGAUACUAACUGUGUCAUGAGAGUCCCAUCCUCUUGACCUCAUCCAAACCUAAUUGCCUCCUAGAGCCCCACCUCCAAAUAUAACAAUGAGAUUUAAUUCUUCAACAUAUGAACUUUAGGGAGCGGCAAAUAGAGCAUUCAACUUAGCAUUCUGUCUCCAUCCCCCAAAUUUCAUGUCCUUCUUGCAUGUAAAACACAGGAAUUGCAUGCCCACAGCUCCCAAAUUCUUAACUCAUUUCAAUAAUAACCUUAAAGUUCAAAAUCUCAUUUAAAUAUUAUCUAAAUCAGAUAGAGGUGACUUGAGAUUCAUUUUAGCCUGAGGCGAAAGUUUCUCUCCAGCUGUAAAUCUGUGCAAACAGGUAAGUUGUGUUUCCAAAAUACAGCAGUCUGCAGGAUAAACGUUCCUAUUACAAAAGCGAGAAUUUUGAAGGAUAUUUAAAGGAAUAAUAACCCCAAACAAGUUCAAAAAUUAGCACCAGGGUGUCUGCCAUCCCAUUAGAUCUCAAGAUAGUGGCCCCACCUUCUGGGUCCUCUGAGGUGACAGUGGCACCACUCCCAGCAUUGAGAGGGACUGUUUUGCUCCAUGAGCACUGCCUUGUCAGCUCUCCUGGCGGCCUCACCCGAGCAGCCUGCUCAGUGGCAGUCUCACUCCUC
RNAcentral lists this long non-coding RNA (1225 nucleotides) under Oryctolagus cuniculus (rabbit). RNAcentral describes it as "lncRNA (ENSOCUG00000035474.1)". The record is from RNAcentral. Lineage: Eukaryota; Metazoa; Chordata; Mammalia; Lagomorpha; Leporidae.